CUCCGCAAUGCGCGAAAGCGUGACGGGGGUAACCCCAAGUGCCAKCACAAUGAUGCUGGCUUUUCUGGAGUGCAAACAGCUCUAGGAAUAAGGGCUGGGUAAGACCGGUGCCAGCCGCCGCGGUAACACCGGCUGCCCGAGUGAUGUCCGCGUUUAUUGGGCUUAAAGCGUUCGUAGCCGGCUCGUUAAGUCCCUGGUCAAAUCCGACGGCUCAACCGUCGGCUAUCUGGGGAUACUGGCGGGCUUGAGGCCGGGAGAGGUCAGAGGUACUCCUGGGGUAGGGGUAAAAUCCGAUAAUCCUGGGGGGACCACCAGUGGCGAAGGCGUCUGACUGGAACGGGCCUGACGGUGAGGGACGAAACCCUGGGAGCGAUCCGGAUUAGAUACCCGGGUAGUCCAGGKCGUAAACAAUGUGGGCUGGGUGUGGGUCAAUCACAAGGAUUGAUCUGUGCCGAAGCGAAAGCGAUAAGUCCACCGCCUGGGGAGUACGGUCGCAAGGCUGAAAUUCCGUUAACUCAGCCCGUGAGCAGCGAGAGCUAUCGGAACAGCAAACUUAAAGGAAUUGGCGGGGGAACAC
RNAcentral lists this ribosomal RNA (577 nucleotides) under uncultured euryarchaeote. RNAcentral's name for it is "bacterial SSU rRNA". It matches the Rfam family "Archaeal small subunit ribosomal RNA", at positions 348 to 879 of the family's 1478-position model. The record is from RNAcentral. Lineage: Archaea; Methanobacteriati; Methanobacteriota.